UACAGAGGGUGCGAGCGUUGUCCGGAAUCACUGGGCGUAAAGGGCGCGUAGGUGGCGAUCCAAGUCCAUGGUGAAAGCUCGAUGCUCAACAUCGAGUCGGCCACGGAUACUGGGUUGCUUGAGCACUGUAGGGGCAGAUGGAAUUCCGGGUGUAGCGGUGGAAUGCGUAGAGAUCCGGAAGAACACCGGUGGCGAAGGCGGUCUGCUGGGCAGUUUCUGACACUGAGGCGCGACAGCGUGGGGAGCAAACAGG
RNAcentral lists this ribosomal RNA (253 nucleotides) under uncultured bacterium. RNAcentral describes it as "partial 16S ribosomal RNA". It matches the Rfam family "Bacterial small subunit ribosomal RNA", at positions 524 to 776 of the family's 1533-position model. The record is from RNAcentral.